UACGAAGGGGGCUAGCGUUGCUCGGAAUUACUGGGGGUAAAGGGCGCGUAGGCGGACAGUUUAGUCAGAGGUGAAAGCCCAGGGCUCAACCUUGGAAUUGCCUUUGAUACUGGCUGUCUUGAGUUCGGGAGAGGUGAGUGGAAUGCCGAGUGUAGAGGUGAAAUUCGUAGAUAUUCGGCGGAACACCAGUGGCGAAGGCGACUCACUGGCCCGAUACUGACGCUGAGGCGCGAAAGCGUGGGGAGCAAACAGG
Molecule: ribosomal RNA, 253 nt
Filed under: uncultured bacterium
Lineage: Bacteria
Description: partial 16S ribosomal RNA
Rfam family: Bacterial small subunit ribosomal RNA
Source: RNAcentral